GAGGCGCGGGGCCAGCCCGGCCACGUCGGCCCAAAAUCGAUGGGCCGUACGAUGUCCGUCGUGCGGUCUGCGGCUACUGUGAUUUCCGCCGCUCGGCUGAAGCCGUCCCGCCGCCCACGCAGCUGCCUGCCUGGCUUCUUCGCCGACGUGUCCCCAGCGUGCCGUGCCAUGCCUUGCCGCUGCUAUGCCGCCGCCGCUGCGUCCCUCUUUGCAGCGGCCGCUCGCUUCCCUCGCCGACGCGUGCGCCGCCUUCCGAAUGCCGUGUGGCCAGGCCUGCGCGUGGCCCAACGUUCCGAGCCUCCUCGCUUCCCCCGCGUCACGACGCCGCCGUGGAGAUGCCCCGCCAGUCACACCGCCGCAGCCCAGCCCUCCCUCCGCGCCGCCGGCGGCCCUCCGUCCCGCCCCACCGCUGCCGCCUAGCGCUGCCGCCGGCCGUUCCGGUCUUCCACGCAUUAGCAACCCGGCCAGCCGCACCACCGCGGGCCGGCCCUCCAUCCGAGCCGCCGCGGUCCGGUGAUCCGGUCCCACCAUCCCCGCCGCUGCCGCUGCGUGCUGCCGAUGGGAAGCCCUCGCCCCAUCCGCUCCGUCACAUCUUGCUCCCUUCUCCUUGUGACUUCGCCGUCAACCCUCGCCCCAUCGCUCCGUCACAUCUUUCUCCCUUCUCCUCGUGACUUCGCCGUUGCCACAUUUGAUGGAUUCAUUCAUAGAUCCCUGGCUCCCAGCUCCCUGAAAAUGAGAAAUUACCAUCUCCCUCAUAAUGGGAAAUUUGGUUGAUGUACGGUUCAAUUCUGUGAGUCUGUAGUCCGUUUUGAUGGAGAGUGGUUCGAUUCGAUGAGUGAAGUGCUUAAUUUGAUGGUAAGAAAGCUGAUUCAAAUGCGUACUGUGGGGGCCUGGGCCUAGUGGCCGGUUUCCCUGAGAAGAAUUCCGGCAGGUUCACCGGUCCAUUGCUUAUUGAGAUUCAAUUAAUUAUCCUUGGCUAAUUUGAUUUGAUUUCAAUCAAUGAGUCCAGAAAGGAUCAGCUGGACUCCCUGCUCGACAUUGGUGCUGAUGAUUUAGAGUUGGGGAACAACAUCGAAGUCUUAAGGGAUUUCCCGUCUGGGGAUAAACUGCAUGACAGGGUGCACGUUCAUCAGCUGCAACAGUUGCUGCCCGUGAAGAGCAAUCUACAAGCACCCUUGGCCUUCCUGUUGUAGCAUCUGGCUGCGCACGAUGCUGAGUUGCUGAAGACACCAUUGAGGACCUUCCUGAAAUCAGAAUACAUUGAGUUUCUGUUUUCAGCUUACCUACUAUCGCAGGGGCGAUCAAUCAUCAAUGGUGCAUGGUCAGUUAAUCUUGAUUUCUUGGUGUUAUGCUUCCUAUUCACAUUGAAAACAUCAUACAUAGAUAUUUGAACACAUCUAAGUAAGUUGCAGUUUGAUCACCUAGAUUCAGAAUCAUGGAUACAUUUUUAAAAAAACUCUCCAGUCCAAUAUGCAGAGUUCAAUGCUCUGUAUUACGUUGGUAUUGCCUCACAAAUCAUGGAAUCGAGAAAGAAAUAUGAUUAAUCGUCCUACAUGCUGCUCUUUUUCAUGGUAGUUAGCACUACACGGGCUUACUUCUCCAAUAGAUGCAUUGACAGUUUGCUGAAUAUUAAAACAAGCCCAGAUAUUGGACAAUGCAGAUAUCUGCAAAAUUUACAUCAACUACUAUAUAUUCUGCUAACCUUGAUAUCCUUCUUGCAGGUUGUUCUUCACCUGAUAGAAAGAUGCCUAAAGUAUCUUUUGCAAUGGCUGUUUCUUUGCUACUAUUGAGUUCAUGUUUCUUUGUUGAAUGCUGAUUGUGUGAACCUAAGUGACUGGUAUCUGAAUAGCCUGACUGUAGAAAGAAUAAUUGUUUUGCUACUAAAAGUCCAGAACUAUCUACUUUCUUACUUCCAUCUAGCUAUCCACAAUUUGUUUGCAUGUACGAUUUGCGUUUUUCCAAUCAAAGUUGAUCUAUUAAUUAGCCAUACAAGAAGAAAUAAUAUCUAAAGGUAUUCUCUUGUUGGACCCUGUCCCAGCACACACAGAGUUAAAAGUCUAAAUGUACCUAUAUGUUUCCUGCUCUGCACAGAUCAAACAGUUUCCUGCACCUCUACGCAUACCAUCUUCAAUGAGAAUUACAUGUUUAUAUAUAUGUAUGUCAGUGUUCAUUAUCUGCAUUAGUAAUUUGAGUAUGUCCUUCCUUUUGUUCUCACAGGUUCUACAGAAUCACUGAAGACUCAAGAGGAACCACUACGCGCGCAACAUUCGUGGCAGGCUGAGGCGCCGGGCAGCCCGGCCACGUCAUCUGCAAAUCCCUGCCCUUGCCAUGCGUGAUUGGGUUUUUUCCCUCGCGAUUUCCCCUAUACUUUUGUUGGAUCCUGCUGAGGUUCUGUGUGUAUAAAAAAUAAUCAUGUACUGUAUGCUCCUCUUAAUGAAGGCACUCUGUGCUCUUGAAAUCAGAGUAUCCAGUUCAGCGGAAAGUCUUGUUGCUAACAUCUUAGAAUUGAGUUUCGCAGCACUAUGCGACAAACUUAUGGGCAUGUAGUUUCCCACC
Molecule: long non-coding RNA, 2556 nt
Organism: Panicum virgatum (switchgrass)
Lineage: Eukaryota; Viridiplantae; Streptophyta; Magnoliopsida; Poales; Poaceae
Exons: 3
Source: RefSeq, a predicted model, not a curated record